UGGCCACCACAAUUUAUUUCAUAACUUUGACCUCAAAUCAGGUAGGACUACCCGCUGAACUUAAGCAUAUCAAUAAGCGGAGGAAAAGAAACCAACAGGGAUUGCCUUAGUAGCGGCGAGUGAAGCGGCAAAAGCUCAAAUUUGAAAUCUGGCUCUUUCAGAGUCCGAGUUGUAAUUUGAAGAAGGUAUCUUUGGGUCUGGCUCUUGUCUAUGUUUCUUGGAACAGAACGUCACAGAGGGUGAGAAUCCCGUGCGAUGAGAUGAUCCAGGCCUAUGUAAAGUUCCUUCGAAGAGUCGAGUUGUUUGGGAAUGCAGCUCUAAGUGGGUGGUAAAUUCCAUCUAAAGCUAAAUAUUGGCGAGAGACCGAUAGCGAACAAGUACAGUGAUGGAAAGAUGAAAAGAACUUUGAAAAGAGAGUGAAAAAGUACGUGAAAUUGUUGAAAGGGAAGGGCUUGAGAUCAGACUUGGUAUUUUGUAUGUUACUUCUUCGGGGGUGGCCUCUACAGUUUAUCGGGCCAGCAUCAGUUUGGGCGGUAGGAGAAUUGCGUUGGAAUGUGGCACGGCUUCGGUUGUGUGUUAUAGCCUUCGUCGAUACUGCCAGCCUAGACUGAGGACUGCGGUUUAUACCUAGGAUGUUGGCAUAAUGAUCUUAAGUCGCCCGUCUUGAAACACGGACCAAGGAGUCUAACGUCUAUGCGA
RNAcentral lists this ribosomal RNA (699 nucleotides) under Candida tropicalis. RNAcentral's name for it is "LSU rRNA". It matches the Rfam family "Eukaryotic large subunit ribosomal RNA", at positions 1 to 689 of the family's 3401-position model. The record is from RNAcentral. Lineage: Eukaryota; Fungi; Ascomycota; Pichiomycetes; Serinales; Debaryomycetaceae.